UACAGAGGUCCCAAGCGUUGUUCGGAUUUACUGGGCGUAAAGGGUGCGUAGGCGGUCGGGUAAGUCUCAUGUGAAAUCUCUGAGCUCAACUCAGAAAUGGCAUGGGAUACUAUUCGGCUGGAGGAUUGGAAGGGGGACUGGAAUUCCCGGUGUAGCAGUGAAAUGCGUAGAUAUCGGGAGGAACACCAGUGGCGAAGGCGAGUCCCUGGACAAUUCCUGACGCUGAGGCACGAAAGCCAGGGGAGCAAACAGG
This 253-nucleotide unclassified non-coding RNA is filed under the name uncultured Verrucomicrobiota bacterium. RNAcentral describes it as "uncultured Verrucomicrobia bacterium contains 16S-23S intergenic spacer region". It matches the Rfam family "Bacterial small subunit ribosomal RNA", at positions 524 to 776 of the family's 1533-position model. Lineage: Bacteria; Pseudomonadati; Verrucomicrobiota. The record is from RNAcentral.